This is a long non-coding RNA of Oreochromis niloticus (Nile tilapia), 2194 nucleotides long. The record is from Ensembl. Lineage: Eukaryota; Metazoa; Chordata; Actinopteri; Cichliformes; Cichlidae.
UCAGUUACCGCUGCAGACAGAUGUUUCAAGGAAUUUGUGGUGUACCAGCAAAAACACAACAACUGGCCCGCUUGAAAUAAACAUCAAUGAGGACGUCUCCACUCUCCCGAAUACAUGUGAAAAGUCGACUGACGUUUGCAACGAUAACACAGAAGCUGAAAAAAGGCUGUCCAUCCAGUGCGCACAGACUGCCCACAUAGAAGCGUCUGGGCUGGCCAAUACUCCGAGCGAAGAGUUGGAGAAGUCCUCUCAGUCCCAGGCUGAUAUUCAUUCUGUCGUCUCUGUUCAGAACAGUCAGAGUUGUGAAAAAUCCACACAAUCCCUUUCUGGAGAUCAGAAUCUUCCCAGUGUCUCCUCCAUGGAAAGUGAAACACAGCUUGGCAAAAAUCAAGAGAAAACUGUUUUGCUCAAUGCAACCAUGGAGAUGACCUUAAGUGAAGCCACUGAGAUAGUCACUGUGGAAACAAAAGCGAAAAAAAAAGUCAGCUCUGGCAGAAAGGACAAGGAGCAAAGCUGCGGCUCAAGUAUAGAAGUGCAGAAGUCUGUAUCUUUGUUACAGUCACAUAAAAAGCCGCUGAAGGAUCAAAGUACUGUCACUCGCAUCCCUAAACUGGGCAAGCAUCAGAAGGUCAAAUCAAAGGAUAAAGUCAAAUCUUCUGACCGCACUAACAUCACAAAUGUAGACCAAAUGGAUGUGGAAGAUUACUUCUCUGAUCCUAAAAUUAGGUUUUCAAGCACCAGCAGAAGUGUGGCUGACGAAGCAAGUUCCAAAAUAACAUGCAGGAAGUCCAGAGCUAAAGGAAAGAGGGCCUCUUCAGUAACCAGGAAAAGUUUAUUCACUGUGCCGUCUGAUGAAAGUGAGAGCAGCCAAUCCCACCAGGAGAAGGUCCAAAAACCUAAAGCAGGAGAUGAAAGUUUAGAGUCUCAAGUCUCUGAGGACGCUCUGCUUUGUGCACAUCCAGAGUCCCAGCAUGCGGAGCGUCUGUCCUUUAGCAAAACUAAUACUGUGACUAAUUCUAGGGGAGGUCACAAAUCAAGAUGCAGGGAGACAUUUGUUAUCUCAAUAACCAGCGACAGUGACUCACCAGAGCAUGAUGUGGCGCCUCCUACAGGAUCCAGCUUUCAGGCAGAAGCAGCAGUCAUGAAUAAAAGCAUUGUUGGACAUGUAGAAUCAAGCAAUCGUUCAAAGACUCGGCGCUCUGGGAAGCGAUCCUGGGUGGCCACUCAGGACUCUGGGAACUGUCAAGAGGACUCGAGCAGCGGUGACAGUGGUGAAGCACUGCCGCUGGAUUGGCAGGCGGCUUUAGGAUCACAGUUUCAAAAACGUAAAAAAUCCAGGAGAGACAAAACAGGGCAGCCCUACAGGAACAAAGUGGUGCAGCGAGAAGAGGGUGAUGACUUGUUAGAUGACAAGACGAAGAAAAAAGACAACAAAGACUUAAGGUCUGAGAGUGAAACGUGUUAUCCUCCUGACCCUAGAGACGCCUCCGCUCUCUGCCUUGAUUCUGAAAUCGCUAAAGGUCAAUUACAUGAUUUACAAAUGCUCGACUCACAUUCUGCCAUCAGUGAAAAGCAUGAAAUCUUUGAACAUCUGAAUGAUUCGCAGUCCAGGAGGGAUUCGAGUCCCGCAUCAUCUAGAAAUGUAUUCAUGCUGAACACAGCCAUGGAAACCAGAUAUCCCAGGAAGACUUUUGUUGUCUACAGACGAAAAACUAAGAACAGAAGUGGAUGUAGUUCUGAAAACAUCACCAGGAUGUCGAACGCAUCAGACACCUGCAGUCACACGGUGGACACCAGCGAUCAGGCAGUUCAUCAGAAUGUGGGCGACCUGCUGAUGGAUGAGCUGCCGCCGUGGCUGGACGUGGAUAACAGCACAGCUCACAUCACUGUGGACUCUCUGCUCGCCACUCCAAACAGGGAAACACCAGGCAGGCUCGCGACGAUUGGAACGGCUGAAGCCUCUCCAGGCAGAGUCUUAUCAACAGUAACCAACACUUUGACAACACCAGACUGUGAAAAUGGAGAGAGAAGCAGGAGACGGAGACCUGGGAAGGGUGCCGUGAGUUACAAGGAGCCGCCUCUCAACAGCAAAAUAAGGCGUGGAGAUAAAUUCACUGACACCACAUUCCUGAGUUCUCCUGUGUUUAAGGAUGGCCGGAAGAAAAAGAAGAAGACGACGACGACUGUCGACUGA